Molecule: ribosomal RNA, 575 nt
Filed under: uncultured Bacteroidales bacterium
Lineage: Bacteria; Pseudomonadati; Bacteroidota; Bacteroidia; Bacteroidales
Description: bacterial SSU rRNA
Rfam family: Bacterial small subunit ribosomal RNA
Source: RNAcentral
AUAGCCUUUCGAAAGAAAGAUUAAUACCGGAUGGUAUAGUUUUCCCGCAUGGGAUGAUUAUUAAAGAAUUUCGGUUGUCGAUGGGGAUGCGUUCCAUUAGGCAGUUGGCGGGGUAACGGCCCACCAAACNUACGAUGGAUAGGGGUUCUGAGAGGAAGGUCCCCCACAUUGGAACUGAGACACGGUCCAAACUCCUACGGGAGGCAGCAGUGAGGAAUAUUGGUCAAUGGACGAGAGUCUGAACCAGCCAAGUAGCGUGAAGGAUGACUGCCCUAUGGGUUGUAAACUUCUUUUAUACGGGAAUAAAGUGAGCCACGUGUGGCUUUUUGUAUGUACCGUAUGAAUAAGGAUCGGCUAACUCCGUGCCAGCAGCCGCGGUAAUACGGAGGAUCCGAGCGUUAUCCGGAUUUAUUGGGUUUAAAGGGAGCGUAGGCGGGUUGUUAAGUCAGUUGUGAAAGUUUGCGGCUCAACCGUAAAAUUGCAGUUGAUACUGGCGACCUUGAGUGCAACAGAGGUAGGCGGAAUUCGUGGUGUAGCGGUGAAAUGCUUAGAUAUCACGAAGAACUCCGAUUGCG